The sequence is a ribosomal RNA, 918 nucleotides long. It matches the Rfam family "Eukaryotic large subunit ribosomal RNA", at positions 2172 to 2960 of the family's 3401-position model.
AGCUGGCUGGUGCCAUGAGGUGACUUCUGCCCAGUGCUCUGAUUGUUACUGCGAAGAGAUUCAGCCAAGCGCGGGUAAACGGCGGGAGUAACUAUGACUCUCUUAAGGUAGCCAAAUGCCUCGUCAACCAAUUAUUGACGCGCAUGAAUGGAUCAACGAGAUUCCUGCUGUCCCUAGUUGCUGUCUGGUGAACCAACAGCCAAGGGAACGGGCUUGGAUGUGUCAGCGGGGAAAGAAGACCCUGUUGAGUUUGACUCUAGUUUGAUGCUGUGCAGUGACAUGUGGGGUGUAGCACAGGUGGGAGGCCAGUGCCAUGGCACUACCCCGAGAGGAGAAGACCACAGGAUGACCAAGGUGCAAACCAGCAGUGAAAUACCACUACCUUCACCGUCGCUUUACUCAUCGAGUUGCCUGGGAACGGCAGCCAUGAAUUCGGCUCUUUCGGUCUCGGCCAAAGAACUGUGGCUAUCCACCGAUUCGUGCUCAAAGUGUGGCCUCGCGUCACACGACCCUGGAAGCAGCAAUCCAAUCAGAAGCCUCGAGACAUUGAUCAGUUGGGGAGUUUGGCUGGGGCGGCACGCCUGUUACAGGACAACGCAGGCGUCCUGAAGCAAUGCUCAGAUGGAACAGAAAUCUCACAUGGAGGAGCAGGCCAAAGGUGCUGCUGAUGCGUCGACUCUCAGUACGAGUCCAAAACGUGCAAGUGUGGCCUUGCGAUCCUUUGGUCAAGCACACGAGUUUGGGAUAUUGAAGCCAGAGGUGUCAGAAAAAUUACCACAGGGAUAACUGGCUUGUGGCUGCCAAGCGUUCAAAGCGACGUCGCUUUUUGAUCCUUCGAUGUCGGCUCUUCCUAGCUUCCCACCCGCAGCCGAGUGGAAGAGUUGGAUUGUUCACCCACCAACAGGGAACGUGAGCUGG